UGGGGAAUCUUAGACAAUGGGGGAAACCCUGAUCUAGCCAUGCCGCGUGAUCGAUGAAGGCCUUAGGGUUGUAAAGAUCUUUCAGCUGGGAAGAUAAUGACUGUACCAGCAGAAGAAGCCCCGGCUAACUCCGUGCCAGCAGCCGCGGUAAUACGGAGGGGGCUAGCGUUGUUCGGAAUUACUGGGCGUAAAGCGCACGUAGGCGGACCAGAAAGUCAGGGGUGAAAUCCCGGGGCUCAACCCCGGAACUGCCUUUGAAACUCCUGGUCUUGAGGUCGAGAGAGGUGAGUGGAAUUCCGAGUGUAGAGGUGAAAUUCGUAGAUAUUCGGAGGAACACCAGUGGCGAAGGCGGCUCACUGGCUCGAUACUGACGCUGAGGUGCGAAAGCGUGGGGAGCAAACA
Molecule: ribosomal RNA, 402 nt
Filed under: uncultured prokaryote
Description: bacterial SSU rRNA
Rfam family: Bacterial small subunit ribosomal RNA
Source: RNAcentral